UGGGGAAUAUUGGACAAUGGGGGCAACCCUGAUCCAGCAAUGCCGCGUGUGUGAAGAAGGUCUUCGGAUUGUAAAGCACUUUCGACGGGGACGAUGAUGACGGUACCCGUAGAAGAAGCCCCGGCUAACUUCGUGCCAGCAGCCGCGGUAAUACGAAGGGGGCUAGCGUUGCUCGGAAUGACUGGGCGUAAAGGGCGUGUAGGCGGUUUACACAGUCAGAUGUGAAAUCCCCGGGCUUAACCUGGGAGCUGCAUUUGAUACGUGUAGACUAGAGUGUGAGAGAGGGUUGUGGAAUUCCCAGUGUAGAGGUGAAAUUCGUAGAUAUUGGGAAGAACACCGGUGGCGAAGGCGGCAACCUGGCUCAUGACUGACGCUGAGGCGCGAAAGCGUGGGGAGCAAACAGGUUAGAUACCCUGGUAGUCCACGCUGUAAACGAUGUGUGCUAGAUGUUGGGUAACUUUGUUAUUCAGUGUCGCAGUUAAC
Molecule: ribosomal RNA, 483 nt
Filed under: uncultured bacterium
Lineage: Bacteria
Description: partial 16S ribosomal RNA
Rfam family: Bacterial small subunit ribosomal RNA
Source: RNAcentral